This 141-nucleotide small nuclear RNA is filed under the name Propithecus coquereli (Coquerel's sifaka). RNAcentral describes it as "U4 spliceosomal RNA (ENSPCOG00000008561.1)". It matches the Rfam family "U4 spliceosomal RNA". Rfam says of the family: U4 small nuclear RNA (U4 snRNA) is a component of the major U2-dependent spliceosome. The structure of U4 snRNA from yeast and human has been reported. The record is from Rfam by way of RNAcentral. Lineage: Eukaryota; Metazoa; Chordata; Mammalia; Primates; Indriidae.
GGCUUUGCACAGUGGCAAUAUCAUAGCCAAUGAGGUUUAUCCAAGGUGAAAUUAUCACUAAUUGAAAACUUUUCCCAAUAUCCUGCUGUGAUGACUUGCAAUAUAGUUGGCAUUGGCAAUUUUUAACAGUCUCUAUGGAGU